CCUACGGGUGGCAGCAGUGGGGGAUAUUGCACAAUGGGGGAAACCCUGAUGCAGCGACGCCGCGUGAGUGAAGAAGUAUUUCGGUAUGUAAAGCUCUAUUAGCAGGGAAGAAAAUGACAGUACCUGACCAAGAAGCCCCGGCUAACUACGUGCCAGCAGCCGCGGUAAUACGUAGGGUGCAAGCGUUAUCCGGAAUGACUGGGCGUAAAGGGCGCGUAGACGGGUUUGUAAGUCUGGAGUGAAAUCCCGGGGCCCAACCCCAGGACUGCUUUUGAAACUGUGUAACUGGAGUACAGGAGGGGCAGGGGGAAUUCUUGGUGUAGCGGUAAAAUGCGUAGAGAUCAGGAGGAACAC
RNAcentral lists this ribosomal RNA (354 nucleotides) under uncultured bacterium. RNAcentral describes it as "partial 16S ribosomal RNA". It matches the Rfam family "Bacterial small subunit ribosomal RNA", at positions 338 to 709 of the family's 1533-position model. The record is from RNAcentral.